UAGGGGAAUCUUCCACAAUGGACGCAAGUCUGAUGGAGCAACGCCGCGUGAGUGAAGAAGGUUUUCGGACCGUAAAGCUCUGUUGUUGGUGAAGAAGGAUAGAGGUAGUAACUGGCCUUUAUUUGACGGUAAUCAACCAGAAAGUCACGGCUAACUACGUGCCAGCAGCCGCGGUAAUACGUAGGUGGCAAGCGUUGUCCGGAUUUAUUGGGCGUAAAGCGGGCGCAGGCGGAAGAAUAAGUCUGAUGUGAAGGCCCUCGGCUUAACCGAGGAAUUGCAUCGGAAACUGUUUUCUUGAGUGCAGAAGAGGAGAGUAGAACUCCAUGUGUAGCGGUGGAAUGCGUAGAUAUAUGGAAGAAUACCAGUGGCGAAGGCGGCUCUCUGGUCUGCAACUGACGCUGAGGC
This 405-nucleotide ribosomal RNA is filed under the name uncultured bacterium. RNAcentral describes it as "partial 16S ribosomal RNA". It matches the Rfam family "Bacterial small subunit ribosomal RNA", at positions 354 to 752 of the family's 1533-position model. The record is from RNAcentral.